Molecule: non-coding RNA, 136 nt
Organism: Gossypium hirsutum (cotton)
Lineage: Eukaryota; Viridiplantae; Streptophyta; Magnoliopsida; Malvales; Malvaceae
Source: Rfam
UGUUAAAAGUUUCUUCUAUUUUUAGUGUUAAAAAUUGGCAUAGUUGAUAGAAUUUACACUCGGCUAGUCACAUAUACCUAAUUUUGACGUAUGAUAUCAAUUUUUAACAGUAAAAAUAGAUAAAAUUUUUUGAGCU